Molecule: ribosomal RNA, 1158 nt
Filed under: Salmonella enterica
Lineage: Bacteria; Pseudomonadati; Pseudomonadota; Gammaproteobacteria; Enterobacterales; Enterobacteriaceae
Also listed under: 1 other name
Description: partial 23S ribosomal RNA
Rfam family: Bacterial large subunit ribosomal RNA
Source: RNAcentral
GCGUACCUUUUGUAUAAUGGGUCAGCGACUUAUAUUCUGUAGCAAGGUUAACCGAAUAGGGGAGCCGGAGGGAAACCGAGUCUUAACCGGGCGUUAAGUUGCAGGGUAUAGACCCGAAACCCGGUGAUCUAGCCAUGGGCAGGUUGAAGGUUGGGUAACACUAACUGGAGGACCGAACCGACUAAUGUUGAAAAAUUAGCGGAUGACCUGUGGCUGGGGGUGAAAGGCCAAUCAAACCGGGAGAUAGCUGGUUCUCCCCGAAAGCUAUUUAGGUAGCGCCUCGUGAAUUCAUCUCCGGGGGUAGAGCACUGUUUCGGCUAGGGGGCCAUCCCGGCUUACCAACCCGAUGCAAACUGCGAAUACCGGAGAAUGUUAUCACGGGAGACACACGGCGGGUGCUAACGUCCGUCGUGAAGAGGGAAACAACCCAGACCGCCAGCUAAGGUCCCAAAGUCAUGGUUAAGUGGGAAACGAUGUGGGAAGGCCCAGACAGCCAGGAUGUUGGCUUAGAAGCAGCCAUCAUUUAAAGAAAGCGUAAUAGCUCACUGGUCGAGUCGGCCUGCGCGGAAGAUGUAACGGGGCUAAACCAUGCACCGAAGCUGCGGCAGCGACGCUUAUGCGUUGUUGGGUAGGGGAGCGUUCUGUAAGCCUGUGAAGGUGGCCUGUGAGGGUUGCUGGAGGUAUCAGAAGUGCGAAUGCUGACAUAAGUAACGAUAAAGCGGGUGAAAAGCCCGCUCGCCGGAAGACCAAGGGUUCCUGUCCAACGUUAAUCGGGGCAGGGUGAGUCGACCCCUAAGGCGAGGCCGAAAGGCGUAGUCGAUGGGAAACGGGUUAAUAUUCCCGUACUUGGUGUUACUGCGAAGGGGGGACGGAGAAGGCUAUGUUGGCCGGGCGACGGUUGUCCCGGUUUAAGCGUGUAGGUGUGUGUUCCAGGUAAAUCCGGUUCACUUUAACACUGAGGCGUGAUGACGAGGCACUACGGUGCUGAAGUAACAAAUGCCCUGCUUCCAGGAAAAGCCUCUAAGCAUCAGGUAACAUCAAAUCGUACCCCAAACCGACACAGGUGGUCAGGUAGAGAAUACCAAGGCGCUUGAGAGAACUCGGGUGAAGGAACUAGGCAAAAUGGUGCCGUAACUUCGGGAGAAGGCACGCUGACAC